UACGGAGGAUCCGAGCGUUAUCCGGAUUUACUGGGUUUAAAGGGUGCGUAGGCGGGCCCCUAAGUCAGCGGUGAAAGUCUGCGGCUCAACCGUAGGAUUGCCGUUGAUACUGGGGGCCUUGGAUUCGGUCGAGGCGGGCGGAAUGCGACAUGUAGCGGUGAAAUGCUUAGAUAUGUCGCAGAACGCCGAUUGCGAAGGCAGCUCGCCGGGCCGUUAUCGACGCUGAGGCACGAAAGCGUGGGGAUCGAACAGG
This 253-nucleotide ribosomal RNA is filed under the name uncultured bacterium. RNAcentral describes it as "partial 16S ribosomal RNA". It matches the Rfam family "Bacterial small subunit ribosomal RNA", at positions 524 to 776 of the family's 1533-position model. The record is from RNAcentral.